AUCGUGCGUCUGCGCCCUGCGAAAGAAGGACCUGCUGGCGGAGCUCCGGCCGGGGUCUCCUGCCUCGCAGCUGGGCGAGGGGACUUGGAGGACAGGGUGAAGCUGCAGAAGACCUGGGGUGGGAUGGCUAGAGAGGACGCCAAGGACUGGGGAAGGGGAAGUUAGGAAUACCUUACAUCCAAUGCCCACCCGUGCUCCGCAGGGCAAGGGCAGCCGUCGCCUCGGCCGCGUGCACCCAGCUCAGGCUGUUCCCAGGGAUUUAGUCUGGGGGGACAACCCAUGGCGAGAUGUGGUGGCAUUUUACCUCAGAGUGGAGCUGAAGAUGGAUAAACAAGGUAUCUGAUGUAUCUGCCUGAGAAGGCAGAGCUGGAGAAAGGCGGAGCGAGGGAGCGCGUGAAAAGAAAGAGAUGCCGAAUGCCGGGUGAUUGUCUGCCGCUUGCUGUGCAUUCUCAUUCUAGGGAGGAUGGCAUAAUUUAUAACCCAGCACAUGGAUAGAGGAACUGUAAAUUGUAGUCUGGAUGUCCCCGGCGCUGUCGACGAAGGAACUGAUGGGCUAGGUGACUGUACCAGUGUCCCCAGAGAAAAUCGCAGCCUCGCAGCAUGGAUUUAAAUGCAUGUGCAUGCAUGUAGAGACAUGAAAAAAGGUUUCUGACCAUUUUACACAGGAAGUCUGUCACUUUGCUGGAUCGGGCUUGAUUGCAGCUUGUGUUUUCAGCUCCAGUUCAACACCCAUUUCCUGACUAGUGAGACAGCAUGGCCAAAGCAGCUGCAUGCAGAAUUUUCUUUUUACUGUGAAAGCAAGCCCCCUCUGUUUUAACUCCUUC
RNAcentral lists this long non-coding RNA (824 nucleotides) under Homo sapiens (human). RNAcentral describes it as "non-protein coding CASC15:70". The record is from RNAcentral. Lineage: Eukaryota; Metazoa; Chordata; Mammalia; Primates; Hominidae.